GCGCGAAACCUCCGCAAUGCGAGCAAUCGCGACGGGGGAAACCCAAGUGCCACUCUUAACGGGGUGGCUUUUCUGAAGUGUAAAAAGCUUCAGGAAUAAGAGCUGGGCAAGACCGGUGC
This 119-nucleotide ribosomal RNA is filed under the name uncultured Methanobacterium sp. RNAcentral describes it as "partial 16S ribosomal RNA". It matches the Rfam family "Archaeal small subunit ribosomal RNA", at positions 339 to 458 of the family's 1478-position model. The record is from RNAcentral. Lineage: Archaea; Methanobacteriati; Methanobacteriota; Methanobacteria; Methanobacteriales; Methanobacteriaceae.